UGCAGGAUUAUGUAUAUAGUCUCCUGGCUCCCUAAACACUGGUACUACAAAGAGUAAGGAGCAACCAGUGUGCUCAGAGAGCAGCAGCAGCAGCAGCAGAGCUGGGAACAGCUCUGGCAGGACCUCAGGAGCAUUCUCAGAUCUAGAAGAAGACAAGUAGGCCCUUGUCCCAGCACAAACCUCAGUUCAAAGGACUGAUCAUUAGUUCUUUACUCCCCACUGCACUAAGGCACAGGAUUCAACCUUGCUCAAGGCAAAUGUAUGUUCCAACAGGUGUGACCUCAGAAAAGUCACCCAUGCCAGCCUUCAGCCUACUAGGGAUCCUUUGAUAAACAGAGCUGCCCAAUGAUCUGGAAUGUUCUUGUCCUUCCCCAACCUAAUCUGUUAGCUUGCUUUUGCUUUUAGGUUGAAAUGUGAACCCCCCCUCCCCCCCACUAUCUUACCUCUAACAAAAAUGUUAUUCUUAUUUCUGUUUACAU
Molecule: long non-coding RNA, 479 nt
Organism: Antechinus flavipes (yellow-footed antechinus)
Lineage: Eukaryota; Metazoa; Chordata; Mammalia; Dasyuromorphia; Dasyuridae
Exons: 3
Source: RefSeq, a predicted model, not a curated record